This 617-nucleotide ribosomal RNA is filed under the name Pimephales promelas (fathead minnow). Its description in RNAcentral is "partial large subunit ribosomal RNA". It matches the Rfam family "Bacterial large subunit ribosomal RNA", at positions 1796 to 2619 of the family's 2925-position model. Lineage: Eukaryota; Metazoa; Chordata; Actinopteri; Cypriniformes; Leuciscidae. The record is from RNAcentral.
UCGCCUGUUUAUCAAAAACAUCGCCUCCUGCAGUAUAAAGUAUAGGAGGUCCAGCCUGCCCAGUGACUACGGGUUCAACGGCCGCGGUAUAUUGACCGUGCAAAGGUAGCGCAAUCACUUGUCUCUUAAAUAGAGACCUGUAUGAAUGGCUAGACGAGGGCUUAACUGUCUCCCCCUUCCAGUCAGUGAAAUUGAUCUAUCCGUGCAGAAGCGGGUAUAGUUCUACAAGACGAGAAGACCCUUUGGAGCUUAAGGUACAAAAUUCACCCAUGUUAAACAACUCCAUAGAAAGCAAGAACUUUAUGGGUAUGAAACUUUACCUUCGGUUGGGGCGACCACGGAGGAAAAACAAGCCUCCGAGUGGACUGGGCCAAAAUCCCUAAAGCUGAAAGAGACAUCUUUAAGCCGCAGAACAUCUGACCAAUAAUGAUCCGGCUAAAAAGCCGAUCAACGGACCAAGUUACCCUAGGGAUAACAGCGCAAUCCUCUCCCAGAGCCCAUAUCGACGAGGGGGUUUACGACCUCGAUGUUGGAUCAGGACAUCCUGGUGGUGCAGCCGCUAUUAAGGGUUCGUUUGUUCAACGAUUAAAGUCCUACGUGAUCUGAGUUCAGACCGG